AGUGAACGCUGGAGGCGUGCUUAACACAUGCAAGUCGAACGAUGAACCUAGCUUGCUAGGGGAUUAGUGGCGCACGGGUGAGUAAUAUAUAGAUAACGUGCCUCUUAGUCUGGGAUAGCCAUUGGAAACGAUGAUUAAUACUAGAUAUUCCUUCUGAUCUUAAGAUUAGUUGGGAAAGUUUUUCGCUAAGAGAUCGGUCUAUAUCCCAUCAGUUAGUUGGUAGUGUAAGAGACUACCAAGGCGAUGACGGGUAGCGGGUUUGAGAGGAUGAUCCGCCACACUGGUACUGAGACACGGACCAGACUCCUACGGGAGGCAGCAGUGAGGAAUAUUGCACAAUGGGGGGAACCCUGNAUGCAGCAACGCCGCGUGGGAGGAUGACGCAUUUCGGUGUGUAAACUCCUUUUAUAAGGGAAGGAAAUGACGGUACCUUAUGAAUAAGCACCGGCUAACUCCGUGCCAGCAGCCGCGGUAAUACGGAGGGUGCAAGCGUUACUCGGAAUCACUGGGCGUAAAGGACGCGUAGGCGGAUUGCCAAGUCUGAUGUGAAAUCCUAUGGCUCAACCAUAGAACUGCAUUGGAAACUGGUAAUCUAGAGUAUGGGAGGGGGAGAUGGAAUUAGUGGUGUAGGGGUAAAAUCCGUAGAUAUCACUAGGAAUACCGAAAGCGAAGGCGAUCUCCUGGAACAUAACUGACGCUAAGGCGUGAAAGCGUGGGGAGCAAACGGGAUUAGAUACCCCGGUAGUCCACGCCCUAAACGAUGAACACUAGUCGUCGGGAUGCUAGUCAUCUCGGUGAUGCACUUAACAGAUUAAGUGUUCCGCCUGGGGAGUACGGUCGCAAGAUUAAAACUCAAAGGAAUAGACGG
This 868-nucleotide ribosomal RNA is filed under the name uncultured bacterium. RNAcentral's name for it is "bacterial SSU rRNA". It matches the Rfam family "Bacterial small subunit ribosomal RNA", at positions 28 to 916 of the family's 1533-position model. The record is from RNAcentral.